This 305-nucleotide long non-coding RNA is filed under the name Elaeis guineensis (African oil palm). RNAcentral's name for it is "long non-coding RNA (EGUI_LNC058650)". Lineage: Eukaryota; Viridiplantae; Streptophyta; Magnoliopsida; Arecales; Arecaceae. The record is from RNAcentral.
GCAUGGGGUCUCUUUGGGUGUCCUACCUAUUGGUUUAAAGAGUCACAUCAGCAUAUCUCAUCCCUCGAUUGAUUAUGUUGUGAAGGCAAUUGGAUUAGAGUUUAUCCCACUUUUCUGCGACGUCUGAUGUGCAUGUGAAAUAGAAGGUCUGCACAUUCAAGUCUCCGUGAAGGUUUAUAUCAGAUAAUUUAGGAUUUGAUCUCUGGUUUCACUACAAUUCAGGUAAGUAUUUGAUCCUUAAUCAAGUAAAAUAUUAAAAAAAAUUUUAGAUGCAACUUGGGCAUUUUGGAGGGAAAUUGUUCUCU